UACGGAGGGUGCAAGCGUUAUCCGGAUUUACUGGGUUUAAAGGGUGCGCAGGCGGAUAUGUAAGUCAGUGGUGAAAUCUCUAGGCUUAACCUGGAAAUUGCCGUUGAUACUAUAUAUCUUGAAUGUUGUGGAGGUAAGCAGAAUAUGUCAUGUAGCGGUGAAAUGCUCAGAUAUGACAUAGAACACCAAUUGCGAAGGCAGCUGGCUACACAAAUAUUGACACUGAGGCACGAAAGCGUGGGGAUCAAACAGG
Molecule: ribosomal RNA, 253 nt
Filed under: uncultured bacterium
Lineage: Bacteria
Description: partial 16S ribosomal RNA
Rfam family: Bacterial small subunit ribosomal RNA
Source: RNAcentral